GGCGGCAGGCCUAACACAUGCAAGUCGAGCGGUAGAGAGAAGCUUGCUUCUCUUGAGAGCGGCGGACGGGUGAGUAAUGCCUAGGAAUCUGCCUGGUAGUGGGGGAUAACGUUCGGAAACGGACGCUAAUACCGCAUACGCCCUACGGGAGAAAGCAGGGGACCUUCGGGCCUUGCGCUAUCAGAUGAGCCUAGGUCGGAUUAGCUAGUUGGUGAGGUAAUGGCUCACCAAGGCGACGAUCCGUAACUGGUCUGAGAGGAUGAUCAGUCACACUGGAACUGAGACACGGUCCAGGCUCCUACGGGAGGCAGCAGUGGGGAAUAUUGGACAAUGGGCGAAAGCCUGAUCCAGCCAUGCCGCGUGUGUGAAGAAGGUCUUCGGAUUGUAAAGCACUUUAAGUUGGGAGGAAGGGUUGUAGAUUAAUACUCUGCAAUUUUGACGUUACCGACAGAAUAAGCACCGGCUAACUCUGUGCCAGCAGCCGCGGUAAUACAGAGGGUGCAAGCGUUAAUCGGAAUUACUGGGCGUAAAGCGCGCGUAGGUGGUUUGUUAAGUUGGAUGUGAAAUCCCCGGGCUCAACCUGGGAACUGCAUUCAAAACUGACUGACUAGAGUAUGGUAGAGGGUGGUGGAAUUUCCUGUGUAGCGGUGAAAUGCGUAGAUAUAGGAAGGAACACCAGUGGCGAAGGCGACCACCUGGACUAAUACUGACACUGAGGUGCGAAAGCGUGGGGAGCAAAC
This 740-nucleotide ribosomal RNA is filed under the name uncultured bacterium. RNAcentral describes it as "bacterial SSU rRNA". It matches the Rfam family "Bacterial small subunit ribosomal RNA", at positions 38 to 773 of the family's 1533-position model. The record is from RNAcentral.